UUAAUCCCUACAAUUUCUGUUUUUUAUCUGUGCAGAACUGCAGAUUCUUUUGUGUAUAUGCCUACAAGGUGUUUGGUGAAAAUCCAAGCAGCCCCUUGAUUUCGUUUCUUGCAGAUAUUUCUAUGGGUUUCUCCAUUAGUAUGUUUUUCCUCAACUACCAUAUCAAUCUGUCAGCCGUUGGCACAUGUGACCUUGGUUGAGGAAUUUGUUCCACAUCUCCUUGUACCAAGAGCGGAUCUGCGCCCCACCUCUCCAGUGUUGGCUCAUUGGCCACCGCGGACCCUAGCUGUCCUUGGGACGCCAUCAACAGGUGUUGUAUAAUGCUGUUACUUGCUGGUGAUGUUGUUUCUGUGCUGCCUAUGGAGUGACAAUAAUGACAUUCAAUUAUGAUGCGUUUGACCGUAACACAAAGAUUAAGAAAUUAAUGACCAUUUGUCGAUUGACGACUUGAAAAGAAGCAUGGAGGCAACAAAUGGGGUAUUAUUUUGAUCUCAUCUCACACAUUAAAUUACUCUUUGUCCUACUAUAUGGCUUUUUAUUAGUUAUUUACACAUACUCGAUGCAUUGCAAAAUGACUGUUUCUGGAAAUCGCCAUAUCCCGUAUCCCCCCAACCGUAUUGUCGUAUCUGUCGCUCUAUCAGUGCUUCAUUGGUCUAGGUAAAAAUGUGUAGAUUUCCUUUAUUUUGUGCAUAUUCUCUUCAAUCAGCGUUGUUACUUUUUGUGCUUGGUGUUUUAUUCCAGCCAGAUGCAAGCGGCAAAAGGCGACUGGGAUUAACCAUCGAUGCUGGUCUUCAUGUCCAAAUCCUGGUCUUUGUUGGUAUGUACAUGAGAUGGGGGAAAUCAUGUUCUUAAGAGAGCGAGAUGUGGAAGGGGACAGGUAUAUUGAACAUGUGUUGAUCCACUAAUGGCAAAUCAGCUACCAGCUGGCUAUUAAGACUUCGCUUAGGUGUUAUUAGCCGCUACAUCCUCCGCUUCAUUGAGCCUCGACCCCCCACUCUUCUGAGGCUUCGUCAGAGAAUUGUUUUGUUGGACCAUACGACUGGAUUGAAGUUGCUAGCCUGAAUGCAAAUUUCCUUGAGAUGGUUCAUCACCAAAAUCCUUAAGAGAUGUUCGAAGGUGGGUCAGUGAGUGGUGAUGAUGUUCAUGAGAAUUCCCACACAUUGGUAAUUUUUGUAUGGAGGUGCAGAGUGCCACGAUCUCAAAUCUAGAGCAAUCUUGUGUCAGUGUUCACGUAUUGUGAUCAUCUAUGUGGCAUUGGGAUAAACACGACAACAGUUCGUCACCUAAAAGGACAGGAUGACACCAAACACCAAAGGAGUUAUGAUAGCAGCACUUAUAGGCAUUGAGGAAUUGGCAAAGAGAUUACGCUUCAUAGGUAUGAAGUUAGAACAACGGCUGGAAACUACAAAAGGCCGUUUCUAAUUACGUUUGUUGGAUCUGUCUUACCUACAAUGCAUGUGUGACCUCUGGAGAAGCCACUUUUUGUUUCGUCUGCAGUAUACUCCAUGUUUAGUUCCAAUGAUGCCCUAACCCUUUUGUUCCUGCUCUGAAGAAUAAGACAUGUAUAGGCUUCAGAUUUUUGUAAUCAUCUAUGUGCUAAACAUCCCUUUGUGGUCAUGUGUUUUAUAUGUAAUCAAGUAUCUAUCCAUGAUGAUAUAUAUGCCCAACUAAUGUUUGAAAAGAUCCAUCAUCUGUAUCACCACUGCUGGAUAAACCACUAUAAAUCUACUAGCAGUACCGGUCAUAUAAAAUAGCUACCGUUACUGAUCAUUUGUAUUACCACUGCUGGAUAACCAUUAUAAAUAUAUCAGCUAAUGUUUCUUUCA
Non-coding RNA from Aegilops tauschii subsp. strangulata, 1826 nucleotides. Lineage: Eukaryota; Viridiplantae; Streptophyta; Magnoliopsida; Poales; Poaceae. The record is from RefSeq and is a predicted model, not a curated record.